GGCGGCAGGCCUAACACAUGCAAGUCGAGCGCAGUCCUUCGGGACCGAGCGGCGGACGGGUUAGUAACGCGUGGGAACAUACCCUUUUCUACGGAAUAGCCUCGGGAAACUGAGAGUAAUACCGUAUAAGCCCUUCGGGGGAAAGAUUUAUCGGGAAAGGAUUGGCCCGCGUUAGAUUAGAUAGUUGGUGGGGUAAUGGCCUACCAAGUCUACGAUCUAUAGCUGGUUUUAGAGGAUGAUCAGCAACACUGGGACUGAGACACGGCCCAGACUCCUACGGGAGGCAGCAGUGGGGAAUCUUAGACAAUGGGCGCAAGCCUGAUCUAGCCAUGCCGCGUGUGUGAUGAAGGUCUUAGGAUCGUAAAGCACUUUCGCCAGGGAUGAUAAUGACAGUACCUGGUAAAGAAACCCCGGCUAACUCCGUGCCAGCAGCCGCGGUAAUACGGAGGGGGUUAGCGUUGUUCGGAAUUACUGGGCGUAAAGCGUACGUAGGCGGAUCAGAAAGUAGGGGGUGAAAUCCCAGGGCUCAACCCUGGAACUGCCUCCUAAACUCCUGGUCUUGAGUUCGAGAGAGGUGAGUGGAAUUCCAAGUGUAGAGGUGAAAUUCGUAGAUAUUUGGAGGAACACCAGUGGCGAAGGCGGCUCACUGGCUCGAUACUGACGCUGAGGUACGAAAGUGUGGGGAGCAAACAGGAUUAGAUACCCUGGUAGUCCACACCGUAAACGAUGAAUGCCAGUCGUCGGGCAGUAUACUGUUCGGUGACACACCUAACGGAUUAAGCAUCCGC
Molecule: ribosomal RNA, 788 nt
Filed under: uncultured Sulfitobacter sp.
Lineage: Bacteria; Pseudomonadati; Pseudomonadota; Alphaproteobacteria; Rhodobacterales; Roseobacteraceae
Description: bacterial SSU rRNA
Rfam family: Bacterial small subunit ribosomal RNA
Source: RNAcentral